GUGCUCGCCAUCACCGCCGGUACUCCUGCUCUGCGAGAGGAGUACGCAGAGUCGACGGGGGAGCCUGCCUGCUGCGUCUAGACCCACGAUGAACAAUCUCACCUGUGGACCCUGGCCUUGUGAGUGCCCAGGAAUUCCCCAUGCUGGAGCAGCGCCUGCUACGAGCCCGCAAGGACAAGGCUAGAGGGUCCGGGACUGUCCGUAGCAGAAGAGGCGUAAGCGUUGAUGCUUGCUUGCUGGAAAGCAUGUAUUUAGUAAUGCAUGAAGGCUGGGAAGCUUAUUAUACUUUAAUAUAAAUAAAGGCAAUAAAACCGGUUAUACUUAUG
This is a long non-coding RNA of Malaclemys terrapin pileata, 326 nucleotides long. RefSeq lists it as uncharacterized. Lineage: Eukaryota; Metazoa; Chordata; Testudines; Emydidae. The transcript has 2 exons. The record is from RefSeq and is a predicted model, not a curated record.